UCCCCCUGCUAACUGGGCAAAGAGGCACCUUUGCGGUGGUGUCCCUCUUAAAUCUAGCAGGGGCAGAGCAACCAUCCCUGUUCAUCCCAGUGCAGUCCUUGUGGCUGCAGCUGGUUCAUGCUGGGGGGACAAGG
Molecule: small nucleolar RNA, 134 nt
Organism: Euleptes europaea (tarantolino)
Lineage: Eukaryota; Metazoa; Chordata; Lepidosauria; Squamata; Sphaerodactylidae
Product: small nucleolar RNA SNORA48
Exons: 1
Source: RefSeq, a predicted model, not a curated record